CCUACGGGAGGCAGCAGUGAGGAAUAUUGGUCAAUGGGCUUACGCCUGAACCAGCCAAGUCGCGUGAGGGAAGACUGCCCUAUGGGUUGUAAACCUCUUUUGUCAGGGAGCAACGCCGGCUACGUGUAGCCGGACUGAGAGUACCUGAAGAAAAAGCAUCGGCUAACUCAGUGCCAGAAGCCGCGGCAAUAAGGAGGAUGCGACGGUUAGCGGGAUUUAUUGGGUUUAAAGGGUGCGUAGGCGGAAUGCCAAGUCAGCGGUAAAAUCGCGGGGCUCAACCUCGCUCCGCCGUUGAAACUGGCGUUCUUGAGUGUGCGGGAAGUAUGCGGAAUGCGUGGUGUAGCGGUGAAAUGCUUAGAUAUCACGAAGAACUCCGAUUGCGAAGGCAGCUUACUAAACUGCCACUGACAUUGAUGCUCGAAGGUGUGGGUAUCGAACAGGAUUAGAUACCCUGGUAGUC
Molecule: ribosomal RNA, 460 nt
Filed under: uncultured bacterium
Lineage: Bacteria
Description: partial 16S ribosomal RNA
Rfam family: Bacterial small subunit ribosomal RNA
Source: RNAcentral